GAUUAUGGCUCAGAACGAACGCUGGCGGCAGGCCUAAGUCAUGCAAGUUGAACGGCUGUAGCAAUACAGCAGUAGCGGACGGGUGAGUAAUGUAUGGGAACGUAUCUUCUAGUGGGGAAUAUUCUUUGGAAACGAAGAGCAAUACCGCAUGAGUCCUACGGGAGAAAGUCGCAAGACGCUAGAUGAGCGGCCCAUAUUGGAUUAGCUAGUUGGUUAGGUAAUGGCUGACCAAGGCAACGAUCCAUAGCUGGUCUAAGAGGACGAUCAGCCACAUUGGGACUGAGACACGGCCCAGACUCCUACGGGAGGCAGCAGUCAGGAAUAUUGGACAAUGGGGGCAACCCUGAUCCAAGCCAUGCCGCGUGAGUGUUAAGGUCUUCGGAUUGUAAAGCUCUUUUGUGUGGGAAAAUGAUGAUGGUACCACAAGAAUAAGCACCGGCUAACUUCGUGCCAGCCGCCGC
RNAcentral lists this ribosomal RNA (461 nucleotides) under uncultured bacterium. Its description in RNAcentral is "bacterial SSU rRNA". It matches the Rfam family "Bacterial small subunit ribosomal RNA", at positions 15 to 518 of the family's 1533-position model. The record is from RNAcentral.